Small nuclear RNA from Callithrix jacchus (white-tufted-ear marmoset), 107 nucleotides. The record is from Ensembl. NCBI's taxonomy places the organism in Eukaryota, Metazoa, Chordata, Mammalia, Primates, Cebidae.
AUGCUCACCUCAGCAGCACAUAUACUAAAGUUGGAACGAUACAGAAAAGAUUAACAUGGACCCUGAGCAAGAAUGACACACACAUUUGUGAAGCGUUCCAUAUUUUU